Molecule: long non-coding RNA, 477 nt
Organism: Spinacia oleracea (spinach)
Lineage: Eukaryota; Viridiplantae; Streptophyta; Magnoliopsida; Caryophyllales; Amaranthaceae
Exons: 2
Source: RefSeq, a predicted model, not a curated record
UUCACCACCACUUUCUCACCCGUGCAAUUACGGUUGCUUUAACCUUUGUCUUUACUCUUUCCGUUAAAGAAAGUUCAAGUGUAGUCUUAUCAGCAACUUUUUGGACUUGAUUCAGAGAAUUUUUGGACCCAUUGGUGAGCUCGUAGAAGGGUUAUGUACAAAGAGAAAUGCCAUACUCUAAUGAGGAGUUAGAAGAAACUCGAGAACAUUGGGCAAAAUAUUUUAAGGACAACUAUUUGAUGGAUGCCGGCGAAUGAGUUUGUUGUCUAGUAAUGUUAUGUUUUAUGUUUUUGUUAUGUGUUGGAUAUGACGUUUGCUACUUGGAGCAUAUAUAUGGUUUUUGGAACAUAUAUGUAUGUUAUGUCUUAUAUACAGGUCUUUAUAAAUUCCCGUUUUGUUCGGGUUUCGCAAAUUACAAGGGAAACUAUGGCAAAUUUUUUGCAACCUAUUAAACUAUUUAUAAUGUUUUUAUUAUAA